CACUCCUGCGGGAGGCAGCAGUGGGGAAUAUUGGACAAUGGGCGCAAGCCUGAUCCAGCCAUGCCGCGUGAGUGAUGAAGGCCCUAGGGUUGUAAAGCUCUUUCACCGGUGAAGAUAAUGACGGUAACCGGAGAAGAAGCCCCGGCUAACUUCGUGCCAGCAGCCGCGGUAAUACGAAGGGGGCUAGCGUUGUUCGGAUUUACUGGGCGUAAAGCGCACGUAGGCGGACUAUUAAGUCAGGGGUGAAAUCCCGGGGCUCAACCCCGGAACUGCCUUUGAUACUGGUAGUCUUGAGUUCGAGAGAGGUGAGUGGAAUUCCGAGUGUAGAGGUGAAAUUCGUAGAUAUUCGGAGGAACACCAGUGGCGAAGGCGGCUCACUGGCUCGAUACUGACGCUGAGGUGCGAAAGCGUGGGGAGCAAACAGGAUUAGAAACCCUAGUAGUCCCAUGA
This 450-nucleotide ribosomal RNA is filed under the name uncultured organism. RNAcentral describes it as "partial 16S ribosomal RNA". It matches the Rfam family "Bacterial small subunit ribosomal RNA", at positions 334 to 800 of the family's 1533-position model. The record is from RNAcentral.